AAUGAACGCUGGCGGCGUGCCUAACACAUGCAAGUCGAGCGAGAAAGUCCCCUUCGGGGGGCGAGUAAAGCGGCGCACGGGUGAGUAACGCGUGGGUAACCUGCCCUUGAGUGGGGGAUAACCAGCCGAAAGGCUGACUAAUCCCGCAUACGACCGGCAGACACAAGUCUGUCGGGGAAAGAUGGCCUCUGCUUGCAAGCUAUCGCUCUUGGAUGGGCCCGCGUUGGAUUAGCUAGUUGGUGGGGUAACGGCCUACCAAGGCUGCGAUCCAUAGCUGGUUUGAGAGGACGACCAGCCACACUGGAACUGAGACACGGUCCAGACUCCUACGGGAGGCAGCAGUAAGGAAUAUUGGGCAAUGGUCGAAAGACUGACCCAGCCAUGCCGCGUGCAGGAUGAAGGCCCUAUGGGUUGUAAACUGCUUUUAGCCGGGAAUAAACACCCGUUUUAUAACGGGCCCGAAGGUACCGGCUGAAUAAGCAUCGGCUAACUCCGUGCCAGCAGCCG
RNAcentral lists this ribosomal RNA (507 nucleotides) under uncultured bacterium. RNAcentral's name for it is "bacterial SSU rRNA". It matches the Rfam family "Bacterial small subunit ribosomal RNA", at positions 29 to 517 of the family's 1533-position model. The record is from RNAcentral.